GUAGGUGGCAAGCGUUGUCCGGAAUUAUUGGGCGUAAAGCGCGCGCAGGUGGUUCGUUUAAGUCUGAUGUGAAAGACCCCCGGGCUCAACCGGGGAGGGUCAUUGGAAACUGGGGAACUUGAGUGCAGGAGAGGAAAGUGGAAUUCCACGUGUAGCGGUGAAAUGCGUAGAUAUGUGGAGGAACACCAGUGGCGAAGGCGACUUUCUGGCCUGUAACUGGCACUGAGGCGCGAAAGCGUGGGGAGCAAACAGGAUUAGAUACCCUGGUAGUCCACGCCGUAAACGAUGAGUGCUAAGUGUUGGGGGGUUUCCGCCCCUCAGUGCUGCAGCUAACGCAUUAAGCACUCCGCCUGGGGAGUACGGCCGCAAAGACUG
This 375-nucleotide ribosomal RNA is filed under the name uncultured organism. Its description in RNAcentral is "partial 16S ribosomal RNA". It matches the Rfam family "Bacterial small subunit ribosomal RNA", at positions 527 to 896 of the family's 1533-position model. The record is from RNAcentral.